This 594-nucleotide ribosomal RNA is filed under the name uncultured bacterium. RNAcentral describes it as "bacterial SSU rRNA". It matches the Rfam family "Bacterial small subunit ribosomal RNA", at positions 767 to 1362 of the family's 1533-position model. The record is from RNAcentral.
AGCGAACAGGAUUAGAUACCCUGGUAGUCCACGCCGUAAACGAUGAGUGCUAAGUGUUAGGGGGUUUCCGCCCUUAGUGCUGCAGCUAACGCAUUAAGCACUCCGCCUGGGGAGUACGGUCGCAAGACUGAAACUCAAAGGAAUUGACGGGGGCCCGCACAAGCGGUGGAGCAUGUGGUUUAAUUCGAAGCAACGCGAAGAACCUUACCAGGUCUUGACAUCCUCUGACAAUCCUAGAGAUAGGACGUCCCCUUCGGGGGCAGAGUGACAGGUGGUGCAUGGUUGUCGUCAGCUCGUGUCGUGAGAUGUUGGGUUAAGUCCCGCAACGAGCGCAACCCUUGAUCUUAGUUGCCAGCAUUCAGUUGGGCACUCUAAGGUGACUGCCGGUGACAAACCGGAGGAAGGUGGGGAUGACGUCAAAUCAUCAUGCCCCUUAUGACCUGGGCUACACACGUGCUACAAUGGGCAGAACAAAGGGCAGCGAAACCGCGAGGUUAAGCCAAUCCCACAAAUCUGUUCUCAGUUCGGAUCGCAGUCUGCAACUCGACUGCGUGAAGCUGGAAUCGCUAGUAAUCGCGGAUCAGCAUGCCGCGG